RNAcentral lists this ribosomal RNA (378 nucleotides) under Triticum aestivum (bread wheat). Its description in RNAcentral is "partial small subunit ribosomal RNA". It matches the Rfam family "Eukaryotic large subunit ribosomal RNA", at positions 257 to 643 of the family's 3401-position model. Lineage: Eukaryota; Viridiplantae; Streptophyta; Magnoliopsida; Poales; Poaceae. The record is from RNAcentral.
UCAACGAGUCGGGUUGUUUGGGAAUGCAGCCCAAAUCGGGCGGUAGACUCCGUCCAAGGCUAAAUACAGGCGAGAGACCGAUAGCGAACAAGUACCGCAAGGGAAAGAUGAAAAGGACUUUGAAAAGAGAGUCAAAGAGUGCUUGAAAUUGCCGGGAGGGAAGCGGAUGGGGGCCGGCGAUGCGCCUCGGCCAUAUGCGGAACAGCUCUUGCUGGUCCGCCGCUCGGCUCGGGGUGUGGACUGUUGUCGGCCGCGCCGGCGGCCAAAGCCCGGGGGCCCUAGGUGCCCCCGGUGGCCAUCGUCGGCACGGCCGGUACCCGCGCGCCAAAAGGCGUGUCCCUCGGGGCACUGCGCUGCAACGGCCUGCGGGCUCCCCAU